GAUGAACGCUGGCGGCGUGCCUAAUACAUGCAAGUCGAGCGAACAGACGAGGCUCUUGCUCCUCUGACGUUAGCGGCGGACGGGUGAGUAACACGUGUAUAACCUACCUAUAAGACUGGGAUAACUUCGGGAAACCGGAGCUAAUACCGGAUAAUAUAUUGAACCGCAUGGUUCAAUAGUGAAAGACGGUUUUGCUGUCACUUAUAGAUGGAUCCGCGCCGCAUUAGCUAGUUGGUAAGGUAACGGCUUACCAAGGCAACGAUGCGUAGCCGACCUGAGAGGGUGAUCGGCCACACUGGAACUGAGACACGGUCCAGACUCCUACGGGAGGCAGCAGUAGGGAAUCUUCCGCAAUGGGCGAAAGCCUGACGGAGCAACGCCGCGUGAGUGAUGAAGGUCUUCGGAUCGUAAAACUCUGUUAUUAGGGAAGAACAAAUGUGUAAGUAACUAUGCACGUCUUGACGGUACCUAAUCAGAAAGCCACGGCUAACUACGUG
This 497-nucleotide ribosomal RNA is filed under the name uncultured bacterium. RNAcentral's name for it is "partial 16S ribosomal RNA". It matches the Rfam family "Bacterial small subunit ribosomal RNA", at positions 28 to 507 of the family's 1533-position model. The record is from RNAcentral.